This 586-nucleotide ribosomal RNA is filed under the name uncultured bacterium. RNAcentral's name for it is "bacterial SSU rRNA". It matches the Rfam family "Bacterial small subunit ribosomal RNA", at positions 338 to 918 of the family's 1533-position model. The record is from RNAcentral.
CCUACGGGAGGCAGCAGUGGGGAAUAUUGCACAAUGGGCGAAAGCCUGAUGCAGCCAUGCCGCGUGUGUGAAGAAGGCCUUCGGGUUGUAAAGCACUUUCAGCGAGGAGGAAAGGUUAGUGGUUAAUAGCCACUAGCUGUGACGUUACUCGCAGAAGAAGCACCGGCUAACUUCGUGCCAGCAGCCGCGGUAAUACGAGGGGUGCAAGCGUUAAUCGGAAUUACUGGGCGUAAAGCGUGCGUAGGUGGCUUGUUAAGCAAGAUGUGAAAGCCCUGGGCUCAACCUGGGAACUGCAUUUUGAACUGGCAAGCUAGAGUUUUGUAGAGGGUAGUGGAAUUUCCAGUGUAGCGGUGAAAUGCGUAGAGAUUGGAAGGAACAUCAGUGGCGAAGGCGGCUACCUGGACAAAGACUGACACUGAGGCACGAAAGCGUGGGGAGCAAACAGGAUUAGAUACCCUGGUAGUCCACGCCGUAAACGAUGUCUACUAGCCGUUGGGUUGUAAUGACUUAGUGGCGCAGCUAACGCAAUAAGUAGACCGCCUGGGGAGUACGGCCGCAAGGUUAAAACUCAAAGGAAUUGACGGGG